RNAcentral lists this long non-coding RNA (1287 nucleotides) under Calidris pugnax (ruff). Its description in RNAcentral is "lncRNA (ENSCPUG00000005688.1)". The record is from RNAcentral. Lineage: Eukaryota; Metazoa; Chordata; Aves; Charadriiformes; Scolopacidae.
UGCCAAGACCACGGACCUGCUCUUGUGGGAGCUGCAGAAGACUUGGCUCAGCUUGCACUUCCUACAAGUGUGCCCAGAUAGGACACCGAGAGAAGAAAUGGGCACAUAGGAGGAAAAGCUGGAUCUGUGGUAGCUGUCUUCAAGAGCCUUGUUUGUUGGUUUGGAGCAGCUUUUUUGGAGUUACAAAAGCUGUUCCACUUGAGGAGCAGAUGUCUGGCAUGUCUCAGGGCUACGUUUUGCUGCAGCCAACCCAGUCACACUGUCUAGGGUGGUCUUCAGUCCCUUGAGAGACCCGCUGGAUCGGCGUUGCAUACCCACUUAUUUUUGGGUGAUGAGCUGCGGGCGCCAAUAAUAGAAAUGAGGUAUCUAAUCACUUGGUGUAGAGAGGCAAUUUGGCCACCCCACUGAUUUUUCCAAACAUUUCUGGGACUAAUCAGAAUGAAGACCAUUAACUUCAGUGGGCUUUGGAUGAUUUCCUAUAUAUGCAAAACUUGAAAAAUCAUGCUUUAAAAGAAAUACCAAAGUUAAAUUGGGAAAUUUUAACAAUUCUCUUUGUAUUUUAAUUUAGUGGCUGUAUGCUGACAAUAUAAUUAGAGAGAUGCUAUGUUAAUUAAAGCCAGAUGACAUUAGUGGAAUGGCAAAAGCAUCCAGUUUUCUAAAGAAUAGUUCACAGUUGAACUGUUCCUCUCUCCCCACCCCAUUUUUAGCAUAGAACUAUAUUCAAAAAGUCAGAGACAGCUGAAUUAAACCAAAAGUCUAACCAUUGACAAAUACCAGUAAUGUGGUGUAGCUUAGCGUGUUGCUUUCAAGCUAAGCCUGAUGUUAUUGCAGAAAAAAUACAUUAACCAUGUUUCCUUAGUGCCUACAUAUAAAAAAGAAGGAAGGUUUGCAGGACUUUGCACUAUUCUUGUGUGGUAGUGGAGUACCUAGCUGCCACUGAAGCCAAAGGAGCAGAACCUAGACUUGUGCUCUAUAUGUCCUAGCAUUUGAAAGGUAAUUUUUGGUUUAGGAUUUGUGGAUUUCUUGGGGCCCAUCAGAUAAUUUAAAAAAGAUUUGCAGGGACAAGGCAAAACACAUUCACAUUCAGUGUGAGUCCCUAUAUGCUACGUUUGCAUACUGUGUGAAUUCAUCUAUGUUAAACUUCAGUCUACACAUGUAACAUACCACCACAGGAAAUUUGAUAGGGCACAAAAAUUAAUACCCCAUGAGAACUACAGCCUUUAUCUUGUUAUAAACUCACACGUAUUUAAAAUUGCAUAUACAGAGAUACUUAUCUAUGGACGUAAA